CAAAUCCCCUUUCUCUGUCCCCAUUCUCCGUCCGCGAUACAUCGUCGUCGCUUUCCUUCGACAAAUGCGGAGAGAAGACAAAGAUUUGGAAUUCGACCGCUGGCCAAUUCGAAGCCCCAUUUGUUCUGUACUAUAUGCCCUUAGUUCUGGAAGAUGAAGGACUGAAGUAGGUGCAAUGGCAUUGAUAGCACAUCACACACAGGGUUCUUUUUCAACACAUUCACUGAGUUGUAGUGCAUCAAGUAGAAGGGCAAAUGUGAGGUCCUCGAUUGUUCAGUUGCUGUAUAAAACACGUGUUUGUGCCCCUGAAGCAUCAUUUUCAUUUUAGCUAUCUAUGAUUGGAUUUAGAAUCAGGUUCAGAGUACUUUGCUUCCUGGAUUUGCAGUGGUACAUGUCCGGAAUGCAGAAAUUUGUUGUUUGGUUUCAUUGCUAUGGUUACCAUGUUAUCCAAAAUGAAUGGUCUAAUCCACAAAACUCACCCCCGCAGUUUGAAGAAGGUUAACAUGUUCAGCCUUACCUAUACAAUUAAAGAAAGAGGUCAUUUCCAUUGACUUUACAAACCUAAGUUGAGGACAGAAAGGCAAACUCAUCAUGGAGAUAAGGCUAACCUUUGAAGACAUUUUUAUUAUAACAUUUUUCCUCCCACUAUUCAGCAUCUUGUUGGGACAUUUCUCACUAUUCAGUAUCUUGUUAGGACAUUUCUUAAGCUUAAAAAAUCUGGAAUUUGAACAUCGUCUCUGAUUUUUAUUUUGCUGUUAGUCUU
This is a non-coding RNA of Musa acuminata subsp. malaccensis (wild Malaysian banana), 763 nucleotides long. Lineage: Eukaryota; Viridiplantae; Streptophyta; Magnoliopsida; Zingiberales; Musaceae. The record is from RefSeq and is a predicted model, not a curated record.